Molecule: long non-coding RNA, 1055 nt
Organism: Sitophilus oryzae (rice weevil)
Lineage: Eukaryota; Metazoa; Arthropoda; Insecta; Coleoptera; Curculionidae
Exons: 2
Source: RefSeq, a predicted model, not a curated record
UUAUUUCUAAUUAUCUUCUCCUAUGUGGAUUAUUGUUUGUUUUACUGCUAUUCUUCUAAGUCUUCCAUGUCUUUGAUUUAAUUUCUAUUGAUGCCUACAUUGAAAUUUUGGAUUAAUUUUUUUUAUUCUGAUUUUAAUUCUUUUUCAAGUUGAAUUUUUGAUUGGGAUAUUGUACUGCUUUGGAACGACGACUUUUUGGGACAACUGUAUUUCAAUUCAACCGCCCUCUUCAAAAGGCCAUUAGGUUGAUUAAAUUCAACAUUCAACAGUGCAAUGGGGAUGAAAUUUAUCAUUGAAGAGGAACUAAAUAAUUUUAGAUUUUGUACAACCAAUUGAUGGAUGUCUACAGUUCCAGGGCAGUACAUUUAUCUUUUUGAUGAAUAUUACCAAAAAUGGUAUCAGGAUUAAUAAGUAUAUCCAAAAUUUAACUUCUUUUGAGUAAAUACAUAUAUUUUUACUGGUUUUUAAUGUUCAUCUGUGGAUUUCAUCAUUUUUAAAUUUGAUCAAGUAGGACAAGAAAUCCUAUGUGUCUCUGAGUUACAUUUUAUGGUUCAUUUUCACUGACCAAUUCAUUAUAAUAACUUGAUUCCCGUAUUGUGUGCAUUUAUUUAAGACUCACCCUGUAUAUACGCUUGUUUGUGAGAAUAAUCUCCCCAUCGAUCAAUUCUAUAAAAUAUCUCUUUGAAUAUAUUGCUAUGCAUUAUUUGUUUGGUAAAAUUACUUAAAAUUUUACUUCAUGUUGUUUUUGGUUAAUUUUUAUUUUGCUAUAAUAACUUAACUCCCAUAUUUUCUUCAUUGUGGGAAUAAUUAAAUUUUGCGAUGAUAUUCAAUAAAUCUGACUCGUCCUCAGGUUUCCACUUCUGCCUUUUCUAGCAUUUUUUCCGAUGAAUUUUCCUAUGUAACAUCGACUCCAGAGCAUUAUAACUAGCCUCCCCUAAGAGGAGGAGACCCGGGUCACCCCCUAACCCUGCUGUUCGGGCAUCGAUGACCUAUGUAGCAUGCAUGGGUACCCAAGGGAGUCACCACCCUCUGGUUUACGAGCUAGGUGUUCUAAC